RNAcentral lists this ribosomal RNA (427 nucleotides) under uncultured bacterium. RNAcentral describes it as "bacterial SSU rRNA". It matches the Rfam family "Bacterial small subunit ribosomal RNA", at positions 355 to 774 of the family's 1533-position model. The record is from RNAcentral.
UGGGGAAUUUUGGACAAUGGGCGCAAGCCUGAUCCAGCCAUGCCGCGUGCAGGAUGAAGGCCUUCGGGUUGCAAACUGCUUUUGUACGGAACGAAAAGGUGCCUUCUAAUAAAGGGCGCUCAUGACGGUACCGUAAGAAUAAGCACCGGCUAACUACGUGCCAGCAGCCGCGGUAAUACGUAGGGUGCGAGCGUUAAUCGGAAUUACUGGGCGUAAAGCGUGCGCAGGCGGUUUUGUAAGACAGAGGUGAAAUCCCCGGGCUCAACCUGGGAACUGCCUGUGUGACUGCAAGGCUGGAGUGCGGCAGAGGGUGAUGGAAUUCCGCGUGUAGCAGUGAAAUGCGUAGAUAUGCGGAGGAACACCGAUGGCGAAGGCAAUCCCCUGGGCCUGCACUGACGCUCAUGCACGAAAGCGUGGGGAGCAAACA